GCCUCUGUAGCUCAGUUGGUUAGAGCGCUGCAGCGGAAUCGCAGUGCCGUAGGUUCAAUUCCUACCAGAGGAC
This 73-nucleotide transfer RNA is filed under the name Paramuricea clavata. It matches the Rfam family "tRNA". Rfam says of the family: Transfer RNA (tRNA) molecules are approximately 80 nucleotides in length. Their secondary structure includes four short double-helical elements and three loops (D, anti-codon, and T loops). Lineage: Eukaryota; Metazoa; Cnidaria; Anthozoa; Malacalcyonacea; Plexauridae. The record is from Rfam by way of RNAcentral.